Molecule: transfer RNA, 70 nt
Organism: Camelus ferus (Wild Bactrian camel)
Lineage: Eukaryota; Metazoa; Chordata; Mammalia; Artiodactyla; Camelidae
Rfam family: tRNA
About the family: Transfer RNA (tRNA) molecules are approximately 80 nucleotides in length. Their secondary structure includes four short double-helical elements and three loops (D, anti-codon, and T loops).
Source: Rfam
GGGAGUAUAACUCAGUGGUAGAGUGCAUACUUAGCACAGGAGGUCCUGGGUUCAAACCCCAGUACCUCCA